Long non-coding RNA from Branchiostoma belcheri (Belcher's lancelet), 276 nucleotides. RefSeq lists it as uncharacterized. The transcript has 3 exons. Lineage: Eukaryota; Metazoa; Chordata; Leptocardii; Amphioxiformes; Branchiostomatidae. The record is from RefSeq and is a predicted model, not a curated record.
CUGCGAGCGCAAGGGACAACCGGUACCAGCUCACAAGCAGCCCGCACCACCAUAGCUGCAACAGGUGCCACUCCCACGGGAUCGUCUCAAACAGGUGCACCUGCGACCACUGACAGCCCUGGGUCAGGUGGGUCAGGUGCUACCAUGGCAACGACCUUUAACCUCCUGCUGCUCGCUAUCCCAGCAUUCCUGGCAAAGUUACUGAUGUAACAUGGGCAAAAAGAAGUGCUGUUUUUAAUAAGAUUAUGUAGUCUGAGAAAAUUUAAAGAAUACUUU